This 381-nucleotide ribosomal RNA is filed under the name uncultured bacterium. RNAcentral's name for it is "bacterial SSU rRNA". It matches the Rfam family "Bacterial small subunit ribosomal RNA", at positions 29 to 403 of the family's 1533-position model. The record is from RNAcentral.
AACGAACGCUGGCGGCGUGCCUAACACAUGCAAGUCGAGCGCGAAAAGGGCAACCUGAGUAGAGCGGCGCACGGGUGCGUAACACGUGGGUAAUCUGCCUCAAAGUUUGGGAUAACCUUCCGAAAGGUUGGCUAAUACCGGAUAAGCUCACGAGGUCUUCGGACUUUGUGGGAAAAGGUGGCCUCUGUUUACAAGCCAUCACUUUGAGAUGAGCCCGCGGCCCAUCAGCUAGNGGCGGGGUAAAGCCACCAAGCUACGACGGUAGCUGGUCUGAGAGGACGAUCAGCCACACUGGAACUGAGACACGGUCCAGACUCCUACGGGAGGCAGCAGUGGGGAAUUUGCACAAUGGGCGAAAGCCUGAUGCAGCAACGCCGCGUG